CCUACGGGAGGCAGCAGUAGGGAAUAUUGCUCAAUGGGGGAAACCCUGAAGCAGCAACGCCGCGUGGAGGAUGAAGGCUUUCGGAUUGUAAACUCCUUUUGUGAGAGAAGAUAAUGACGGUAUCUAACGAAUAAGCACCGGCUAACUCCGUGCCAGCAGCCGCGGUAAUACGGAGGGUGCAAGCGUUACUCGGAAUCACUGGGCGUAAAGAGCGCGUAGGCGGGAGAGCAAGUCAGAUGUGAAAUCCUAUGGCUUAACCAUAGAACUGCAUUUGAAACUGUUAUUCUAGAGUAUGGGAGAGGUAGGUGGAAUUCUUGGUGUAGGGGUAAAAUGCGUAGAGAUCAAGAGGAAUACUCAUGGCGAAGGCGAACUACUAGACCGUAACUGACGCUGAGGCGCGAAAGCGUGGGGAGCAAACAGGAUUAGAUACCCCUGUAGUC
Molecule: ribosomal RNA, 440 nt
Filed under: uncultured bacterium
Lineage: Bacteria
Description: partial 16S ribosomal RNA
Rfam family: Bacterial small subunit ribosomal RNA
Source: RNAcentral